GCUAGUAGGGGUUUCUUUAAGGAAGAACGUUGGUAUUGGAUUUGCGUUGCAGCACUUUUUGGCUUUAACCUUCUUUUCAACGUUCUAUUUACAAUAGCUUUGACUUACUUGAAUCCACUUGCUGAUGCAAAGGCUCUCAUUACCACGGAUGAAGACAAGAA
Molecule: long non-coding RNA, 161 nt
Organism: Cucumis sativus (cucumber)
Lineage: Eukaryota; Viridiplantae; Streptophyta; Magnoliopsida; Cucurbitales; Cucurbitaceae
Exons: 2
Source: RefSeq, a predicted model, not a curated record